RNAcentral lists this ribosomal RNA (406 nucleotides) under uncultured bacterium. Its description in RNAcentral is "partial 16S ribosomal RNA". It matches the Rfam family "Bacterial small subunit ribosomal RNA", at positions 30 to 526 of the family's 1533-position model. The record is from RNAcentral.
AUUGAACGCUGGCGGCAGGCCUAACACAUGCAAGUCGAACGAGUGGCGGACGGGUGAGUAAUGUCUGGGAAACUGCCUGAUGGAGGGGGAUAACUACUGGAAACGGUAGCUAAUACCGCAUACCAUCGGAUGUGCCCAGAUGGGAUUAGCUAGUAGGUGGGGUAACGGCUCACCUAGGCGACGAUCCCUAGCUGGUCUGAGAGGAUGACCAGCCACACGGGAACUGAGACACGGUCCAGACUCCUACGGGAGGCAGCAGUGGGGAAUAUUGCACAAUGGGCGAAAGCCUGAUCCAGCCAUGCCGCGUGUACGAAGAAGGCCUUCGGGUUGUAAAGCACUUUCAGCGGGGAGGCGUUACCUGCAGAAGAAGCACCGGCUAACUCCGUGCCAGCAGCCGCGGUAAUAC